Molecule: ribosomal RNA, 449 nt
Filed under: uncultured bacterium
Lineage: Bacteria
Description: partial 16S ribosomal RNA
Rfam family: Bacterial small subunit ribosomal RNA
Source: RNAcentral
AACGAACGCUGGUGGCAUGCCUAAUACAUGCUAGUCGAACGAUCACUUCGGUGGUAGUGGCGCACGGGUGCGUAACGCGUGGGAAUCUGCCCUUGGGUUCGGAAUAACAUCUGGAAACGGAUGCUAAUACCGGAUGAUGACGUAAGUCCAAAGAUUUAUCGCCCAGGGAUGAGCCCGCGUAGGGUUAGCUAGUUGGUGGGGUAAAGGCCUACCAAGGCGACGAUCCUUAGCUGGGCUGAGAGGAUGAUCAGCCACACUGGGACUGAGACACGGCCCAGACUCCUACGGAAGGCAGAAGUAGGGAAUAUUGGACAAUGGGGGCAACCCUGAUCCAGCAAUGCCGCGUGAGUGAUGAAGGCCUUAGGAUUGUAAAGCUCUUUUACCCGGGAUGAUAAUGACAGUACCGGGAGAAUAAGCCCCGGCUAACUCCGUGCCAGCAGCCGCCGUAA